GUCCUUGCGACCAGGCUCCUCUUUCUGAUUCCUCUUCCUCCUUGUUCUUCCCUUUUUAUCCCAGGACGUGAUUCUAUCCUCCCCUUCUCUUUCUCUUUAUUUCUAGAUUUUUAGAUGGAUUCUUCUUGAUCUGAGAUGUUUACUUUCUUCCCUUCUAAUACUAGGAUGUGAUUCGUUUUGCUAAGAUGAGUUGGCAGCACUUUAAUGGACCUGGCUCCAGAUCGCAUCCCCAACCCUAGCAGGCGGUCCUCCUCUAGAUCCCGACCCGAACCCAACCCAGGCCAGGAGCGCGGUGGCGGCGGCGACUACCCCGACCCAAAGCGCGGCAGCGGCGGCCACGUGCGGCCGCUUGUCGUCAGCGGCGGCGACUAGGGUUGCUGGCCUCAAAACCCUAGCCGCUGCCUUUGCCUCGUCGUCCCUGUUCUCCUCGAGGAGGAGCUGGUCUGGAGGCGCUCAAGGAGCUCGAGCUCCGCCGUGCGUCCCCGGCUCCAUGGAGACCAGCAGAAGCGGCGCUCGACUGCAGCUCUGCCCCGACCCCGAUCCAGGGCAGCCCGGGAAGCCCCACGGCCUCCUCUACUGGAGUAGGCCGACGCCCAUGAGCAGCGUGGGUUAGGGACCUCGACGUUGGCCUCUACAUCGAGCAGGCGACCUCGACAUCUAGCAGCGAGCACCGGUUCCGAUCAGUCAGGACUAGAUGCGAUGCAUCUGCCGUCUCUGUUGCCCAGCCGGGUGCCAAAUGGCUCCACGGGGCAGCAUUUUGUGAGGUGACGUUGAUGCUUGCCCUUCUCUUGGAGAAUACUUGAUAAUUUCCUAAUCCCCUAAACAUGCCUUGGCAUUGGAUGGAUCAAGGAGCAGGUUACAGUUUAUGUUUUUGGUCAAAGUUUCCUCUAUUUUUCUGCUCUUAGCCUCUAUUACAGUCUGUUCUAUCUUGCUACACAUUGGAUCCUGCUGCAGUUGUAUUUACUAUUUACUAUUAUAUAAAAAUCAGCCAUGUGCAAGCAACGGAGCUUAAUUUGUACAGUUGGCCAUAUCGACUACUGAGAAGGCUCAGUUGGUGUUGGAUGUGAUGUCUUGGUGGGAUAUGUUUUUCUAUUGGAUGCCUACAGUAACUACAGGAUGCAAGAAGAACUUUGCAGGCAGUCCGGGGACUCUAUCACGAGUUGCUCAAUGUAACCUUCGCAAUGGGCGGUGGCUGCAGCACGGUGAAACAAUUCUGGUCCACUCUCUCGAGUGGCUCGACGUGUCCUUCGCAAUCAGUGGAAGCUGCUGCAUGCCAAAAAGAAGACAAGGUCAAGUGGAACUGACUCUGGCGAGGAGUAUAUGUGAAAGAUAGACUUGACUUUACAUUAGGCCAUUGAUCAAAUAACAUCUUCGUUUGGGAGGGGAGCAAUAAUGUGGCUUGGCUGCUCUGAAAGUCACAAAGAAGUACCUGUUGUGUCUACUGGGUCUUUCUCUCUGGAUCUUGCACUAGGGAUCAGUAGGCUUCCAAAGGUAGCAUGCCAUUACUCUUUGGAGGGACGUGUUUUAGAUGUGUAUGGUCCAGAGGCUUCAGGGAAGACAACUCUUGCUUCAGUGGACAACUCUUGCAUUCUUUUCACAAAACAAUCUAAUAUUGAAUGUUGCCUUUUAGAAAUCUGGAAUUUAGUUGGUUACAGAUUUAUAUACUAUUAGUAAACCUUGCUGGCGAGUUAGAUAUAGGCUCAUUUAGGUUUUUUUUUGUCCUUGUACUUGCUUGACAGAAGUAAAAUUUUCUGAUAUGGUGGACUGAAGUUGCCUACUGAUGUUUUUGGUCCAAGAAGAAGGGGUAGAUGCAAAUGCAUUACCUUGACCACGAAGCAACAUUGCAAAAUGCUAAAUGCUAAUACGAUAAUUAUUAUUUUUUCCUUUACUGAUACAAUAUAGGAUCCUUAAAGCAAGUGCAUCAUUUUUACUUAAACACAUUCCACAAAUUUACUGCUCGAAGAGCCCAUCCUAAAGGUCUUCUACAUGAACACUCCAGGUUAGUAGAUAAUGAUAUUUCAAUUUCCGAAACUUUGUUUGCGCAAUAGUUUUUAAUGUGAUAUGUCUAAGGAGGAACAAAAUUUUAAAUGAUCUGGUCUCGAUUAUAUAACCAUUUAGACGCUUCACUCUAUGAUUUUAACCCUACAAGUUUGAGUGCUAUUUACCUCUCUGCAGAACUCUUUCAAAAAAAUUAACCCCACAAUUUUCAGUAAUACUCACCUCACUGCAGAACUAUUUUUUCUUGUAAGAACUUAUGAAUUUGUUCUUGGUAAUCUACCUUCUAUUUUUCUUGAUACACCUAGGUGUUACUUGAAUUCUUCAGAUUUUAUAGAGGUCAUUAUAGAGGGUACGAUAUCAUAUGGUUUCAAAAUUGUUCCACAUUUAGUUAUUUUCGCAACCCAGAGAAGGUUUUCAAUAUAAAUGAAUAAUUAAGUAGAUCCCUGGCUAUGCUUUGGUGGACUCCAGAGGCAAACAUGUACCUCAGAUAGGUGAAUGGCCGUUCGAGGGGUUUUGAAUACCUGAGCAUUACAACAUGAUAUUGUGAUUAGUAGUGGAAGGAGUGCAGAAGCUUAUUAUAAUGCUACCGUUUAGAUACUUAUAACCAUGCUAUUCUGCAGAUAUAAGGUUCUAUCUCUGUUCGCAAUGCAUUAUAUUAUUCAUUUGUGCCCUGUUUGUAUCCCUUAGAUAGUUCCCAAUGCUCAUUUCCGCGGGCACUGUCUGUCAAUGAACGCCUCAUAUCUCACAUUUUCCGAAGAAGUUAACUUGUGGUUUGUUCCAGGGGUCCCCUAUAUUCUAUUUCUAUUUGGUAUGCCUUCUAGCGUUCAUAUGCUGGUCUUUAACAUACUGUGAGUUUCCAACGAGAUGGUCUUGGGUAGCAGAGAAUAAAAAGUGGGUGCGGAGAAAACGGAGUGAUAAAAUUGGCAGGAUAUAUUAUGUGCAUCCUUCUACCGGCGAGCUUUACUAUCUUAGAAUGUUGUUGAUGCUUGUGAAGGGUGCAAAGUGCUAUGCUGAUGUUAGGACUUAUAAGAAACUGUAGAGGGCUAACUUAGUUAGACCUAGGGUUCCUCAACAAGGCUAACAUCAGGGGGUCUAGCAUGUAAAGGCAACUGACGUAGCGCCUUAGCGCCGGCUAACGACCAUUGACAGGCUUCAUCUAGGAUGGGCUGAACUAAGACGAGAUUACUUUUUAGAUAAUAUAGGAAAUUGUCAUUUCGCACUCUUUGGUUUCUGAAUGGUAUUUCACAGGGAGUGAGUGCCAUAAA
This is an RNA transcript of Lolium rigidum, 3263 nucleotides long. It is a transcript of the gene named probable WRKY transcription factor 2, with no coding region annotated. The record is from RefSeq and is a predicted model, not a curated record. The transcript has 7 exons. Lineage: Eukaryota; Viridiplantae; Streptophyta; Magnoliopsida; Poales; Poaceae.